AGAGUUUGAUCCUGGCUCAGAUUGAACGCUGGCGGCAUGCCUAACACAUGCAAGUCGAACGGAAACGAUGGAAGCUUGCUUCCAGGCGUCGAGUGGCGGACGGGUGAGUAAUACUUAGGAAUCUGCCCAGUAGUGGGGGACAACUCGGGGAAACUCGAGCUAAUACCGCAUACGCCCUACGGGGGAAAGCGGAGGAUCUUUCGGGACUUCGCGCUAUUGGAUGAGCCUAAGUCGGAUUAGCUUGUUGGUGAGGUAAAAGCUCACCAAGGCGACGAUCCGUAGCUGGUCUGAGAGGACGAUCAGCCACACUGGGACUGAGACACGGCCCAGACUCCUACGGGAGGCAGCAGUGGGGAAUAUUGGACAAUGGGGGCAACCCUGAUCCAGCAAUGCCGCGUGUGUGAAGAAGGCCUGCGGGUUGUAAAGCACUUUCAGUAGAGAAGAAAAGUUCAGGGUUAAUACCCCUGAAUCUUGACGUUACCUACAGAAGAAGCUCCGGCUAACUCCGUGCCAGCAGCCGCGGUAAUACGGAGGGAGCGAGCGUUAAUCGGAAUUACUGGGCGUAAAGCGCGCGUAGGCGGCUUUGUAAGUCGGAUGUGAAAGCCCCGGGCUCAACCUGGGAAUGGCAUUCGAUACUGCAGAGCUAGAG
This 649-nucleotide ribosomal RNA is filed under the name uncultured bacterium. RNAcentral describes it as "bacterial SSU rRNA". It matches the Rfam family "Bacterial small subunit ribosomal RNA", at positions 8 to 646 of the family's 1533-position model. The record is from RNAcentral.